RNAcentral lists this ribosomal RNA (1244 nucleotides) under metagenome. RNAcentral's name for it is "bacterial LSU rRNA". It matches the Rfam family "Bacterial large subunit ribosomal RNA", at positions 1564 to 2817 of the family's 2925-position model. The record is from RNAcentral.
UGAGUACGAAAUGCUACGGCAUUGAAGCAGUCUAUGUCAUACUUCCUAGAAAAGCUUGCACUGUCAUAAACAAAUAAUGCCUGUACCAUAACCGACACAGGUGGGUAGGUAGAGUAUACUAAGGGGCGCGAGAUAACUCUCUCUAAGGAACUCGGCAAAAUGACUCCGUAACUUCGGGAGAAGGAGUGCCUUAUUUAUAAGGUUGCAAUAACAAGAUCCAAGCAACUGUUUAUCAAAAACACAGGUCUCCGCUAAGUCGUAAGACGAUGUAUGGGGGCUGACGCCUGCCCAGUGCCAGAAGGUUAAAGAAGUUGGUUAGCAUUCGCGAAGCUGAUAACUGAAGCCCUGGUGAACGGCGGCCGUAACAAUAACGGUCCUAAGGUAGCGAAAUUCCUUGUCGGGUAAGUUCCGACCCGCACGAAAGGCGUAAUGAUUUGGAUACUGUCUCGGAGAGGGGCUCGGUGAAAUAGACUUGUCUGUGAAGAUGCGGACUACCUGCACCUGGACAGAAAGACCCUAUGAAGCUUUACUGUAACUUGAAAUUGAAAUUGGACUUUAUUUGCGCAGUAUAGGUGGGAGGCAUUGAAGAUAUUCUUGCGGGAAUAUUGGAGCCAUCAGUGAGAUACCACUCUUGUAAUGUUAGAUUUCUAACUUUGUAUCAUUAUCUGGUCAAAGAACAGUUUCAGGCGGGCAGUUUGACUGGGGCGGUCGCCUCCCAAAUGGUAACGGAGGCGCACAAAGGUUUCCUCUGAACGGGUAGAAAUCGUAUCUAGAGUGUAAAGGCAUAAGGAAGCUUGACUGUGAGACCUACAAGUCGAGCAGGGACGAGAGUCGGUCUUAGUGAUCUGACGGUGCUGAGUGGAAAGGCCGUCACUCAACGGAUAAAAGUUACUCUAAGGAUAACAGGCUGAUCUCCCCCAAGAGUUCACAUCGACGGGGAGGUUUGGCACCUCGAUGUCGGCUCAUCGCAUCCUGGGGCGGUAGUACGUCCCAAGGGUUGGGCUGUUCGCCCAUGAAAGCGGUACGCGAGCUGGGUUCAGAACGUCGUGAGACAGUUCGGUCCAUAUCCGGUGUAGGCGUUAGAAUAUUGAGAGGAGCCUUCUUUAGUACGAGAGGACCGAGAAGGACAUACCUCUGGUGUACCAGUUAUUGUGCCAACGGUAAACGCUGGGUAGCUAUGUAUGGAGAGGAUAACCGCUGAAAGCAUCUAAGUGGGAAGCCCACCUCAAGAUAAGUAUUCUCAC